Molecule: long non-coding RNA, 1119 nt
Organism: Mytilus californianus (California mussel)
Lineage: Eukaryota; Metazoa; Mollusca; Bivalvia; Mytilida; Mytilidae
Exons: 3
Source: RefSeq, a predicted model, not a curated record
CCAGAUGUAUAAACCUUUGUUUGGCAAUUUUACAGACAAGUAAUGUUCUUUGCAAGUUAAAAUAAGUAAAAAUAAAUAUGCCAUGCUCGACAAAAUGGACGAAUUUAACCAGAGCAAACAAAGUUAUUUUUGUUUUGACAAUGGUUGCACUUUCUUUGCUUGUCUUUGGAUUUUCAACGCCACUUUGGAUUUUGAUAGCUGUGGAAACUGACUUUAACAGUGAACUAUUUGACGUGGUCGAGUUUGAGUAUAUUGGUCUUUGGCAGUUGUGCUUCAAACAUUAUGGGUGUUUUGAUCUAUCAUUGCUGGCGAAAGAAUUUUCAAUAUAUACCAAGAUUAUCAACAAAAGAAAUAGAAAUGAAAUACUAGAUAUGAUAAUUAACAAGGUCAACAGAACUAAAAAUUUGUGGACAGUUUCAAGAUCAUUUGCAUCUGUGGCCGUCGUUUGUGCAAUAUCGUUUUCGAUUUGGAAACUGUAUUUCAUCUGGAUAAGGAAGAUGAACCAUGUUCGUGUCUACCAUCUUGUGUCAAUUCUUGAGAAUUUCAUCAUCGGUCCUGUUUUAUUGAUAUGCUUGGUAGCGUUUGGUGCUGCAAAACAUACCUUUGAUGAGCUGAAAAUGGAUAAGCUAUCGGAAUCGAAUAUUUUAAGAGUUAUAGACAUCAACAGAUAUUUUUCUUUCUGGAUGGUUUGUGUUGCAACAUUAUUGUACUUUUUUAAUGGGAUGUUAGCCAUUGUCAGUUUAUGCAGAGGCUUUGUGAUCAACACAAACCCCCAAUCGGGAAGACGAUCAGAAGAAGCAACCAGAAGUGGAAACGAGAAAUCCUUAGAAAUGAUUCCUGUGUAUAAUUUCUAAAUUAUUGCACUGAGAACAACUCUGAUAGAUUAACAGUUCCAUUUUUAGAUUAUAAUUGAUAACAGUCUUUGUUCGGUUUUUAGAUUAUAAUUGAUAACAGUCUUUGUUCCGUUUUUAGAUUAUAAUUAAUAACAGUCUUUGUUCGGUUUUUAGAUUAUAAUUGAUAACAGUCUUGUUCGAUAUCUUGUCAUUCUGUUGGCGUUUGUCGUACGUCUUUACCAUUUCUCAGUUAUACAAAUAUAAAAUUUUGAGGACGAAAGGUAAA